This 391-nucleotide ribosomal RNA is filed under the name uncultured bacterium. Its description in RNAcentral is "bacterial SSU rRNA". It matches the Rfam family "Bacterial small subunit ribosomal RNA", at positions 30 to 416 of the family's 1533-position model. The record is from RNAcentral.
AGCGAACGUUUGCGGCGGGCUUAACACAUGCAAGUCGAACGGGCUGUUCCUUCGGGGGCAGUCAGUGGCGCACGGGUGCGUAACACGUAGGUAAUCAACCCUCUGGUUGGGGAUGACACUUCGAAAGGAGUGCUAAUACCCGGUAUGGCGCAGCGGUCUUCGGAUCGCGGCGAGAAAGACCCGCAAGGGUUGCCAGAGGACGAGCCUGCGGCCCAUCAGCUAGUUGGCGAGGUAACGGCUCACCAAGGCGAAGACGGGUAGCUGGUCUGAGAGGAUGAUCAGCCACACUGGAACUGAGACACGGUCCAGACUCCUACGGGAGGCAGCAGUGGGGAAUAUUGCGCAAUGGGCGAAAGCCUGACGCAGCCACGCCGCGUGAGCGAUGAAGGCC